Molecule: unclassified non-coding RNA, 299 nt
Organism: Amphiprion ocellaris (clown anemonefish)
Lineage: Eukaryota; Metazoa; Chordata; Actinopteri; Pomacentridae
Rfam family: Metazoan signal recognition particle RNA
About the family: The signal recognition particle (SRP) is a universally conserved ribonucleoprotein. It is involved in the co-translational targeting of proteins to membranes. The eukaryotic SRP consists of a 300-nucleotide 7S RNA and six proteins: SRPs 72, 68, 54, 19, 14, and 9.
Source: Ensembl
GCCGGGUGCGGUGGCGCGCGCCUGUAAUCCAAGUUACCGGGAGGCUGAGGCUGGAGGAUCGUUUGAGCUCAGGAGCUCUGAGCUGCAGCGGACUAUGCCGAUCGGGUGUCCGCGCUAAGUUCGGUAUCGACAUGGUGCUCCUGAGGGAGCCCGGGACCACCAGGUCGUCUAAGGAGGGGUGCACCGGCCCAGGUCGGAGACGGAGCAGGUCAAAGCCCCCGUGCCGCUCAGUAGUGUGAUCGCGCCUGUGAAUAGACGCUGUAGUGCAGCCUGAGUAAUACAGCGGGACCCAGUCUUUU